GGACCUUUAGCUCAGUUGGUUAGAGCAACCGGCUCAUAACCGGUUGGUCCGGGGUUCGAGUCCCUGAAGGUCCAUCA
This 77-nucleotide transfer RNA is filed under the name Oscillospiraceae bacterium. RNAcentral describes it as "tRNA-Met". It matches the Rfam family "tRNA". Rfam says of the family: Transfer RNA (tRNA) molecules are approximately 80 nucleotides in length. Their secondary structure includes four short double-helical elements and three loops (D, anti-codon, and T loops). Lineage: Bacteria; Bacillati; Bacillota; Clostridia; Eubacteriales; Oscillospiraceae. The record is from RNAcentral.